RNAcentral lists this ribosomal RNA (1348 nucleotides) under uncultured bacterium. RNAcentral's name for it is "bacterial SSU rRNA". It matches the Rfam family "Bacterial small subunit ribosomal RNA", at positions 28 to 1381 of the family's 1533-position model. The record is from RNAcentral.
GAUUAACGCUGGCGGCGUGCAUAACACAUGCAAGUCGAACGAUGAAACUUAGUAGACUUCUUCGGAAUGACACUAAGCGAAUUAGUGGCGAACGGGUGAGUAACGCGUGAGUAACCUGCCUUACACAAGGGGAUAGCCUUUGGAAACGAAGAAUAAUACCCUAUAAAACCAUAAAAGCACAUGCUAGAAUGGUCAAAGUGAUAGCGGUGUAAGAUGGACUUGCGUCUGAUUAGCUAGUUGGUGAGAUAAAAGCUCACCAAGGCAACGAUCAGUAGCCGGCUUGAGAGAGUGUACGGCCACAUUGGGACUGAGACACGGCCCAGACUCCUACGGGAGGCAGCAGUGGGGAAUUUUGCACAAUGGGGGAAACCCUGAUGCAGCGACGCCGCGUGAUUUAGAAGGCCUUCGGGUUGUAAAAAUCUUUUGUAUAGGAAGAAAAUGACAGUACUAUACGAAUAAGGUCCGGCUAAUUACGUGCCAGCAGCCGCGGUAAUACGUAAGGACCGAGCGUUGUCCGGAAUCAUUGGGCGUAAGGGUACGUAGGCGGCUAGAAAAGUUAGAAGUCAAAGGCUAUAGCUCAACUAUAGUAAGCUUCUAAAACUAUUUAGCUUGAGAAAUGGAAGGGAAAGUGGAAUUCCUAGUGUAGCGGUGGAAUGCGCAGAUAUUAGGAAGAAUACCGGUGGCGAAGGCGACUUUCUGGCCAUUAUCUGACGCUGAGGUACGAAAGCGUGGGUAGCAAACAGGAUUAGAUACCCUGGUAGUCCACGCCGUAAACGAUGAGUGUUAGGUGUCUGGAGUCAAAUCUGGGUGCCACAGCAAACGCAUUAAACACUCCGCCUGGGGAGUACGCACGCAAGUGUGAAACUCAAAGGAAUUGACGGGGACCCGCACAAGCAGCGGAGCAUGUGGUUUAAUUCGACGCAACGCGAAGAACCUUACCAAGUCUUGACAUAUUACAGAAGCAGUUAGAGAUAAUUGCUUACAUCUUCGGAUGACUGUAAUACAGGUGGUGCAUGGUUGUCGUCAGCUCGUGUCGUGAGAUGUUGGGUUAAGUCCCAUAACGAGCGCAACCCCUAUUGCUAGUUACCAUCAUUAAGUUGGGGACUCUAGUAAUACUGCCGGUGACAAACCGGAGGAAGGUGGGGAUGACGUCAAAUCAUCAUGCCCUUUAUGACUUGGGCUACACACGUGCUACAAUGGCAGGUACACAGGGAAGCAAGACUGCGAAGUUAAGCGAAACUCAAAAAGCCUGUCCCAGUUCGGAUUGCACUCUGCAACUCGAGUGCAUGAAGUUGGAGUUGCUAGUAAUCGUGGAUCAGAAUGCCGCGGUGAAUGCGUUCCCGGGUCU